GCUGAUGCGUUGUUGGGUAGGGGAGCGUUCUGUAAGCCUGUGAAGGUGUGUCGUGAGGCAUGCUGGAGGUAUCAGAAGUGCGAAUGCUGACAUAAGUAACGAUAAAGCGGGUGAAAAGCCCGCUCGCCGGAAGACCAAGGGUUCCUGUCCAACGUUAAUCGGGGCAGGGUGAGUCGACCCCUAAGGCGAGGCCGAAAGGCGUAGUCGAUGGGAAACGGGUUAAUAUUCCCGUACUUGGUGUUACUGCGAAGGGGGGACGGAGAAGGCUAUGUUGGCCGGGCGACGGUUGUCCCGGUUUAAGCGUGUAGGUGUGUGUUCCAGGUAAAUCCGGUUCACUUUAACACUGAGGC
This 350-nucleotide ribosomal RNA is filed under the name Salmonella enterica subsp. enterica serovar Typhimurium. Its description in RNAcentral is "partial 23S ribosomal RNA". It matches the Rfam family "Bacterial large subunit ribosomal RNA", at positions 1213 to 1562 of the family's 2925-position model. Lineage: Bacteria; Pseudomonadati; Pseudomonadota; Gammaproteobacteria; Enterobacterales; Enterobacteriaceae. The record is from RNAcentral.